AACGAACGCUGGCGGCAUGCCUAACACAUGCAAGUCGAACGAGACCUUCGGGUCUAGUGGCGCACGGGUGCGUAACGCGUGGGAACCUGCCCUUAGGUUCGGAAUAACUCCCCGAAAGGGGUGCUAAUACCGGAUAAUGUCUUCGGACCAAAGAUUUAUCGCCUUUGGAUGGGCCCGCGUUGGAUUAGCUAGUUGGUAGGGUAAAAGCCUACCAAGGCGACGAUCCAUAGCUGGUCUGAGAGGAUGAUCAGCCACACUGGGACUGAGACACGGCCCAGACUCCUACGGGAAGCAGCAGUGGGGAAUAUUGGACAAUGGGCCAAAGCCUGAUCCAGCAAUGCCGCGUGAGUGAUGAAGGCCUUAGGGUUGUAAAGCUCUUUUACCCGGGAUGAUAAUGACAGUACCGGGAGAAUAAGCUCCGGCUAACUCCGUG
This 433-nucleotide ribosomal RNA is filed under the name uncultured bacterium. Its description in RNAcentral is "partial 16S ribosomal RNA". It matches the Rfam family "Bacterial small subunit ribosomal RNA", at positions 29 to 507 of the family's 1533-position model. The record is from RNAcentral.